GCUUGUCUCAAAGAUUAAGCCAUGCAUGUCUUAGUGUAAAUAACUCUUAUGAAACUGCGAAUGGCUCAUUAAAUCAGUUAUCAAAUACGUGAUGGUCGCCUACUACAUGGAUAACCGUAGUAAUUCUAGAGCUAAUACAUGCACAAAGGCCCACUCACGUGGGUUGUGAUUAUUAGAUUCAAACCGGCCUCGUUCUGGUGAUUCAUAAUAACUCGCGGAUCGGUUUACCGAUGCAUCAUUCAAGUUUCUGCCCUAUCAGCUUUGGAUGGUAGGGUAUUGGCCUACCAUGGCUUUAACGGGUAACGGAGAAUUAGGGUUCGAUUCCGGAGAGGGAGCCUGAGAAAUGGCUACCACAUCCAAGGAAGGCAGCAGG
RNAcentral lists this ribosomal RNA (373 nucleotides) under uncultured Cryptomonas. RNAcentral describes it as "partial small subunit ribosomal RNA". It matches the Rfam family "Eukaryotic small subunit ribosomal RNA", at positions 30 to 432 of the family's 1831-position model. Lineage: Eukaryota; Cryptophyceae; Cryptomonadales; Cryptomonadaceae. The record is from RNAcentral.